This 402-nucleotide ribosomal RNA is filed under the name uncultured prokaryote. RNAcentral's name for it is "bacterial SSU rRNA". It matches the Rfam family "Bacterial small subunit ribosomal RNA", at positions 355 to 774 of the family's 1533-position model. The record is from RNAcentral.
UAGGGAAUAUUGGUAAUCUGGGCAACCGGGAACCAGCAACGCCGCGUGCGCGCUGAAGGCCUUCGGGUUGUAAAGCGCUUUUUGAGAGGAUGAGGACGGACAGUACUCUUAGAAUAAGCCACGGCUAACUACGUGCCAGCAGCCGCGGUAAAACGUAGGAGGCGAGCGUUCUCCGGAUUUACUGGGCGUAAAGCGUGUGUAGGCGGUUUGAUAAGUUGGAGGUGAAAGCUCCUGGCUUAACUGGGAGAGGUCGUUCAAAACUAUCAGACUUGAGAGUGGUAGAGGGAGGUGGAAUUCCGCAUGUAGUGGUGAAAUGCGUAGAUAUGCGGAGGAACACCAGUGGCGAAAGCGGCCUCCUGGCCCAUUUCUGACGCUCAGACACGAAAGCUAAGGUAGCAAACG